UCCACGCCCUAAACGAUGUGGGCUAGGUGUUGGCCCUCCAGUGGGUCGGUGCCGCAGCUAACGCGUUAAGCCCACCGCCUGGGGAGUACGGCCGCAAGGCUGAAACUCAAGGGAAUUGACGGGGGCCCGCACAAGCGGUGGAGCAUGUGGUUUAAUUCGAUGCUAAGCGAAGAACCUCACCUGGGCUUGACAUGCUGGUGGUAGGAGCCCGAAAGGGUAACGACCCAGGGCCU
Molecule: ribosomal RNA, 233 nt
Filed under: uncultured bacterium
Lineage: Bacteria
Description: partial 16S ribosomal RNA
Rfam family: Bacterial small subunit ribosomal RNA
Source: RNAcentral